AGUGAACGCUGGCGGUAGGCCUAACACAUGCAAGUCGAACGGCAGCACAGUAAUAGCUUGCUCUUACGGGUGGCGAGUGGCGGACGGGUGAGGAAUACAUCGGAAUCUACUUUUUCGUGGGGGAUAACGUAGGGAAACUUACGCUAAUACCGCAUACGACCUACGGGUGAAAGCAGGGGAUCUUCGGACCUUGCGCGAUUGAAUGAGCCGAUGUCGGAUUAGCUAGUUGGCGGGUAAAGGCCCACCAAGGCGACGAUCCGUAGCUGGUCUGAGAGGAUGAUCAGCCACACUGGAACUGAGACACGGUCCAGACUCCUACGGGAGGCAGCAGUGGGGAAUAUUGGACAAUGGGCGCAAGCCUGAUCCAGCCAUACCGCGUGGGUGAAGAAGGCCUUCGGGUUGUAAAGCCCUUUUGUUGGGAAAGAAAAGCAGCAGGUUAAUACCCCGCUGUUCUGACGGUACCCAAAGAAUAAGCACCGGCUAACUUCGUG
RNAcentral lists this ribosomal RNA (491 nucleotides) under uncultured bacterium. RNAcentral's name for it is "partial 16S ribosomal RNA". It matches the Rfam family "Bacterial small subunit ribosomal RNA", at positions 29 to 507 of the family's 1533-position model. The record is from RNAcentral.